RNAcentral lists this ribosomal RNA (505 nucleotides) under uncultured bacterium. RNAcentral's name for it is "partial 16S ribosomal RNA". It matches the Rfam family "Bacterial small subunit ribosomal RNA", at positions 28 to 507 of the family's 1533-position model. The record is from RNAcentral.
GACGAACGCUGGCGGCGUGCCUAAUACAUGCAAGUAGAACGCACAGUUUAUACCGUAGCUUGCUACACCAUAGACUGUGAGUUGCGAACGGGUGAGUAACGCGUAGGUAACCUACCUGGUAGCGGGGGAUAACUAUUGGAAACGAUAGCUAAUACCGCAUAAUAUUGAUUAUUGCAUGAUAAUUGAUUGAAAGAUGCUAUUGCAUCACUACCAGAUGGACCUGCGUUGUAUUAGCUAGUAGGUGAGGUAACGGCUCACCUAGGCGACGAUACAUAGCCGACCUGAGAGGGUGAUCGGCCACACUGGGACUGAGACACGGCCCAGACUCCUACGGGAGGCAGCAGUAGGGAAUCUUCGGCAAUGGACGAAAGUCUGACCGAGCAACGCCGCGUGAGUGAAGAAGGUUUUCGGAUCGUAAAGCUCUGUUGUAAGAGAAGAACGGGUGUGAGAGUGGAAAGUUCACACUGUGACGGUAUCUUACCAGAAAGGGACGGCUAACUACGUG